Molecule: long non-coding RNA, 309 nt
Filed under: Olea europaea subsp. europaea
Lineage: Eukaryota; Viridiplantae; Streptophyta; Magnoliopsida; Lamiales; Oleaceae
Source: RNAcentral
GAACAUUUUGGAAUCAUAUCAAUAAAAAUAGUUCUAACAAAUAAUAAGAUUAGGACUAAUUGAAAAUUAUGACGGUACUCACAAUUGAGUCUAAAUUUAAAAACAAAAUAGUCAAAUGUUAUUAAAUAUUCUAGUGUUUCUAAAAAUUAAAGUACUUCAUGACGAAGAUCCAUUGGUCCAAUUGCUUAUCCAUCCACCGCCGUCCAGCAUACUAAUUUUUACCUGAAAAUUUUAAAUAAAGAGGGAUGAGUAUAACGAAUUAUACUCAAUGAGAUGCUUGCUACUCCACAUUCAAAUCAAACGUGAAAU